GCUGGGCGUGGUGGCGGGCGCCUGUAAUCCCAACUACUCAGGAGGCUGAGGCAGGAGAAUCGCUUGAACGCGGGAGGCGGAGGUUGCAGUGAGC
This 94-nucleotide microRNA precursor is filed under the name Chlorocebus sabaeus (green monkey). RNAcentral's name for it is "miRNA (ENSCSAG00000027473.1)". The record is from RNAcentral. Lineage: Eukaryota; Metazoa; Chordata; Mammalia; Primates; Cercopithecidae.